GCGGCCUCGUCGUAGGAUACACACAACCUUGCCAAGGUUGGGGUCGAGGGUUCGAAUCCCUUCGCCCGCUCCA
Molecule: transfer RNA, 73 nt
Filed under: Methylosinus trichosporium OB3b
Lineage: Bacteria; Pseudomonadati; Pseudomonadota; Alphaproteobacteria; Hyphomicrobiales; Methylocystaceae
Also listed under: 1 other name
Description: tRNA-Gly
Source: RNAcentral